Mastomys coucha (southern multimammate mouse) is the source of this 389-nucleotide long non-coding RNA. RefSeq lists it as uncharacterized. Lineage: Eukaryota; Metazoa; Chordata; Mammalia; Rodentia; Muridae. The record is from RefSeq and is a predicted model, not a curated record. The transcript is spliced from 2 exons.
ACGCACGGGGGCGCCCAAGCAACGUGAUAUUUGUUUUGGCCACAGCCCGUACGCAAAUCCGUAGCUCUCCAAGAUAGCCAACAACCCGGGUCACCGGCGAUGGAAUCUCGGUUUUGACAUCGUCUGCCUUCCGUAGAAGCUUGAGAAAAGGCCCAACGCCUGCCUCAGAUUCCCGGUGACUUUGCAGGUCAUGGUGAUUCACGCCUUGAAUUCCAGCACUCAGAAGGCUGAAGCAGAGAAUUUCUUUGUAUUUGAGGAUGGACUGGGCUACACAGAAAGUUCCAGGUGAUCCCAAGCUAUAGAGCAAAAUAUCUCUUUGAAAGGAAGAAAGAGGGAAAGAAAGGAAAAAAGAAAGAAAGAAAGAGGAAAUAAAAGAUCCUGGAAUAUGA